ACGUACACUCCUGCGGGAGGCAGCAGUGGGGAAUAUUGCACAAUGGGCGCAAGCCUGAUGCAGCCAUGCCGCGUGUAUGAAGAAGGCCUUCGGGUUGUAAAGUACUUUCAGCGGGGAGGAAGGCGAUAAGGUUAAUAACCUUGUUGAUUGACGUUACCCGCAGAAGAAGCACCGGCUAACUCCGUGCCAGCAGCCGCGGUAAUACGGAGGGUGCAAGCGUUAAUCGGAAUUACUGGGCGUAAAGCGCACGCAGGCGGUCUGUCAAGUCGGAUGUGAAAUCCCCGGGCUCAACCUGGGAACUGCAUUCGAAACUGGCAGGCUAGAGUCUUGUAGAGGGGGGUAGAAUUCCAGGUGUAGCGGUGAAAUGCGUAGAGAUCUGGAGGAAUACCGGUGGCGAAGGCGGCCCCCUGGACAAAGACUGACGCUCAGGUGCGAAAGCGUGGGGAGCAAACAGGAUUAGAUACCCCGGUAGUCCC
RNAcentral lists this ribosomal RNA (476 nucleotides) under uncultured organism. RNAcentral describes it as "partial 16S ribosomal RNA". It matches the Rfam family "Bacterial small subunit ribosomal RNA", at positions 329 to 797 of the family's 1533-position model. The record is from RNAcentral.